Molecule: unclassified non-coding RNA, 1077 nt
Filed under: Hevea brasiliensis (rubber tree)
Lineage: Eukaryota; Viridiplantae; Streptophyta; Magnoliopsida; Malpighiales; Euphorbiaceae
Source: RNAcentral
AGAACCCCUCCAGGCCUCUCUUCUCUGCUCCUCUCAGGACAUUUUCACAAACACUUUGAUUGAUAUCCAAGGCUUUAAUUUUUGAAACGUUUCUUUCUGCAACAUGACUAGACAGCAACAGCGAUACCGCGGUGUCCGUCAAAGGCAUUGGGGCUCUUGGGUGUCUGAAAUCCGCCAUCCUCUGCUGUAAUUUCACUUUCUUAUGAUUUGCUUCUGUGGGGUUCUUGCACUUAGCUGCCGCAAGAACGUUUCCUUGCCACAUAUGUGGCAAGAUUAAGAAACGUUUCUUUAUUUUGUUCGCUAGUAGAAUCACUAGCACCCUUUUAAAGCCCUUUUCUCGGCAGCAACACGGAUGCUUUGAUACAAUACACUCAGACGCACACAAAUACACUAAAAGAAAAAGUUUUAGUGCAAAAAUUAUGUGUUUCUUUUACUAAAAGAAACGUUUCUUGUUUUCUUGGGACUACAGGAAGACUAGAAUAUGGCUAGGCACAUUCGAAACGGCGGAGGACGCGGCGAGAGCCUACGACGAGGCAGCUAGACUAAUGUGCGGUCCAAAAGCACGCACAAAUUUUCCAUACAACCCAAAUGAGCCACAAUCAUCUUCUUCAAAGCUUAUCUCAGCAACUCUGGCAGCUAAGUUACAUAAAUGUCACAUGACAUCUCUACAAGUCACCAAGAAAAAUGUCACUAAACAAACACAUGAACAACCACAAUGUAACCCAUUUGCCACUAGCAAUGGCAUUGCCGGAAAAAGUGUAGAAUCCGGCUCUACUUGGCCGGAGGGGAAAUGGGUUGGUGAGGAAAGUGAAGUUGGGAAUAGCCAGCAGCAAGAUAAGACACUAGAAGAUCAUCACAUAGCGCAAAUGAUAGAGGAAUUACUUGAUUAUGGGUCCAUGGAGUUUUGUUCUGUUUCUUCUACAUAGAUUAGUACUCUUAAUUAGAAAGAUUUAAAAUUGUAGCAACCUUCAUCUAUUUGGUAAUGCAACUUAUAAUUAUAAUUACUUUUCGUUUCAAUUUUUAUGCUUAAUGUGAAAUUGGAAUUUUGGAUUCAACACAAAGUAGUGUGAAAGGAUG